UACGUAGGGUGCAAGCGUUUAAUCGGAAUUACUGGGCGUAAAGCGUGCGUAGGUGGUUUGUUAAGUCUGAUGUGAAAGCCCUGGGCUCAACCUGGGAAUUGCAUUGGAUACUGGCAGGCUAGAGUGCGGUAGAGGAUGGCGGAAUUCCCGGUGUAGCAGUGAAAUGCGUAGAGAUCGGGAGGAACAUCUGUGGCGAAGGCGGCCAUCUGGACCAGCACUGACACUGAGGCACGAAAGCGUGGGGAGCAAACAGG
RNAcentral lists this ribosomal RNA (254 nucleotides) under uncultured bacterium. RNAcentral's name for it is "partial 16S ribosomal RNA". It matches the Rfam family "Bacterial small subunit ribosomal RNA", at positions 524 to 776 of the family's 1533-position model. The record is from RNAcentral.